This 321-nucleotide ribosomal RNA is filed under the name uncultured eukaryote. Its description in RNAcentral is "partial 18S ribosomal RNA". It matches the Rfam family "Eukaryotic small subunit ribosomal RNA", at positions 1470 to 1796 of the family's 1831-position model. The record is from RNAcentral.
CCCUUAGAUGUCCUGGGCCGCACGCGCGCUACACUGACAUGUUCAACAAGCCUCCUAGUUCGACAGGAUUUGGGAAAUCUUUGAACGCAUGUCGUGAUAGGGAUAGAUCAUUGCAAUUAUUGAUCUUGAACGAGGAAUUCCUAGUAAACGCGAGUCAUCAGCUCGCAUUGAUUACGUCCCUGCCCUUUGUACACACCGCCCGUCGCACCUACCGAUUGAAUGUUUCGGUGAAGAUUCCGGAUAGGACUUUUUUGAUUUAUUUCAAUUUUGUCUUAAAAGCUAUCUAAACCUCAACAUUUAGAGGAAGGUGAANUCGUANCA